This 471-nucleotide ribosomal RNA is filed under the name uncultured bacterium. RNAcentral's name for it is "bacterial SSU rRNA". It matches the Rfam family "Bacterial small subunit ribosomal RNA", at positions 27 to 518 of the family's 1533-position model. The record is from RNAcentral.
GGACGAACGCUGGCGGCGUGCUUCAUACAUGCAAGUCGAACGAGAAAUCAACUUCGGUUGGUGGAGAGUGGCGGACGGGUGAGUAAUAUGUAGAGAAUCUGCCCUUUAGCGGGGGACAACAGUUGGAAACGACUGCUAAUACCCCAUAUGAGCGUAGCUGAGAUGCUAUUCUUGAAAACUCCGGUGCUAAAGGAUGAGUCUGCAUCUGAUUAGCUAGUUGGCGGUGUAAUGGACCACCAAGGCGACGAUCAGUAGCUGGUUUGAGAGGAUGAUCAGCCACAAUGGGACUGAGACACGGCCCAUACUCCUACGGGAGGCAGCAGUAGGGAAUUUUGCGCAAUGGGGGAAACCCUGACGCCAGCAACGCCGCGUGAUUGAAUAAGCCCUUCGGGGUGUAAAGAUCUGUCAGUAGGGACGAAACUUGACGGUACCUACAGAGGAAGCAUCGGCUAACUCCGUGCCAGCCGCAGC